AAGCGAUUCUCCUGCCUCAGCCUCUUAAGUAGCUAGGACUACAGUUGAGAAGCCUGAGCCUCAGAGGGUAAGUGAUUCCUCUCAUUUAUGCCGCUGGCGUCUGGUGAGGCUUGGUCUCAGCAUUCAGAUUUUGGCCAUUACAAACAGUGCUGUUGUGAACGUUGUGCCUGCCUGUCUUCCGGCUGGACAUAGACCAAGUGGAUCCUUCUGCCCACUAGGGGAAAGGGCAGGAAGUGCUGAAAAGAAAACACGAUGUGGGGGCUACUCAAAGUGAGAUGUGUGGACCAAUGGAACCUUGGAACUUGUGUGAAAUACAGAAUCACAACCCACUACUAAGUCAGAAUUUGAAUUUUAUCAAGAUACCCAGCCUGUGCGUCAGACACUGUUCUGUUUCAUGGAUUAUCUCAUUCAGUCUUCAUAGUAGCCACAUCAGACAGAAACCAAGGCACAGAGAAAUUAAAUAACCUGCCCUGGGUGCCCCAGUUCAGAAGCACUGAGGCCAGAAUUGCUCACAGAUUUCUAGCUAAGUGCUCUUUUCACGACGCCAUGUUGCCUUCGUAAAACACAAAAGCCUGGGAAAGGGUUGAAUUUGCUGCAAAGGAUGUGAUGGAAAUGACAGUAUCCCUGUUCCAGACAUAGGCCUCAAGGCCCUACAUGUUCCCACCUCUUUUGGAACUCUGCUUCCACUAUGAGAAUAAGCCCAGGUUUUGUACCAUAGGAAAAAGGCUUUCCCUACUCAAAGAUCGCUAAAGCAGGCGAUUUUAGAAGACUUGUGCCUGGAAUACUCGGAGAAUCAUGUUUCCUGGGGAAAUAAAGGAGGAACUAGAUUGGUGUUCAUUAUCUGGCAUCGCUGUCCUCCCUCCAGCUGCCAUGGCCAUACUUAUCUCAGCAAGUAGAGAAAAAAAGAAAUGCGGAAACAUGAGUUUGGCAAACACACAUAUUCUCAAGUUAAGUGGCUUCAGACAGGAUGACUGUCAGUUGGUGAGAGGGAGCCAUCACAGGCCUGCAGUGAUUCCAACAACUCACAGGAAAGCAGUCCAGCUUGUUUGGCCAGUUCUUGGGUUAUUGGACAGUCAUCAAUAGCUUUGAAGCCACUGAAGUCUCCUCUGGUGCCCUGAAGCUUCAUUACUUCCAUGAAAUUCAGAGAGAGUGUUCGUGAUCAUGCAACAGAUACACCCACAGCCAGUGAGUUUCAAAGCCAAAGGAAAACAACAGGCCUUUGAUUAGGCUGUACCUACUCCAAUGCAGGAGGGCACUGCAGCAGCUGGGGGAGCCUGGCUGCACCACCUCUUUUCAUUCUCCAGAGGUGGGUGGAAAAGAGUGUGUGGGUUGGAAUUAAGGAACUGGGUUGACUAGCCCAAGGCUGGUUGGGAGCCUGCAGUUCAGGGAGAGAUUAUUGCUUUAUUGGCUCUGGUUUAAAAAAAAAAAAAAAAAAGUGACCAUCUUACAUCAUCUCAGCAGGACUGAAAAUUUCACAUGAUUAUCAAAGUGCAUGAAAUGCUAGACAGAUCCCUGAAUGUGAGUGGAAAGGGAAAGGAGGGGUUGGUGGAGCAGAGGUAGAUGCCCACUUUCUCCCCAAAAUAGAACAUCAGGACCUACUAAUGGGUGCAAGAAAGUGAGUCAGGUCUGGCCUUAAGGAUGUAUCCUGAAUACCCACCAGUGCUCAGUUUCCUUAUUAAUAUAUCAUUAGAUACCAGCUAUCAUGACUUCUCUGCUCCUUUCCUGUCAAUGACCACCAAACCGAACCCUGCUUGGAAAAACUCUCUUUGCUUCAAGAGGGAUUGUGUGGGCUUAGCUCAGGUUCAUGGAAACACCUUGCUUGUUUCUUUCCUGCAGAGUGGAUGGUGAAAGGAGUUGUUAGCACCAGUCAGCUUUUUCUUAUCAAGUAACUUCAUUAUUUCUAGGGCAGUCACAUGCCGUUGUUUGUCCCAGACAGAGGGGCUUCUGGGACACAAGACUUUUAUUGCUAAAAUCAGGAAAGUUCCUGGCAAACUGGGAUGAGAAGUCGCCCUAAUUGUCACAGUAUCUGAUGAGGUGCCAAAUGAGUAAGGGAGACAGUCAACACUAAUGAAGUUUGGAAUUGGUAGCUGGGAGUUUUGUACAGAGCUAUGUAUUUUACAAUGCACUUUCACACACACUAUCUCAUUUUAAUCUUAUAACAAAUUAAAGAAGGCAGAGGAGGUAUUACUUUUGCUUUAUGUUGAGGAAAAAAUUGAGCCACAAAGAUUAAGUAACUAGCUCAAUGACACAGAGCUGGUUAAUAACAAAACUCGAGGGUUGCUUCCAACUCUCUGUGGAGUGAGACAGGGAACGAUUGAUAGCUGGAGUCCAGUGUUCUUUCUGCUGUACCAUGUUGUCUCUCUAGUUAUAGGGAGAAUAGAAUUCCUUUUUCUCUCAUUAUUUGCCUUUGUUUUUUCUUGUUAUGAUGCUCUGUUGUAGAGUGACGAUCUUGCAGUGAAGAAUAAUUCAAUGGAAAUUCAGAGCUGUGUCCCCAACCACCAACCAUCAGGAAGCACAGAUGCUCAGACAUUUGCUGUGACUUCUACCCAAAGGCAAGGCAAAAUGUCAUUGCCAAGGAUUACAUUCAAAUGACCCUGUAAUAUGGUUUUCUGGUGGAGGGAAGAACUGAAGGUAAUACUAGUUCAUCAGAGAAUGCUGAGUGGAGAAUCGCAGUGGUAGGGAGAUGAGAGAGCUGUGGAUCUUAAGGCAAGAGGACAGGCUCAGAAGUCAACAGCCUUAAGCAGAAGCAUGCAGGGUUCCGGGAUGAGAAACAUGACUCAGCAUUUAUCCUUUCCUAUAAAACAUAGCAGUGUGUUAAGGCUGCAUUUGAAAUUUUACUCUAAGGCCAGUGAUAAUAUCUAAAUUACGGUCAUGACAUGCAUAACUUGAUAUCAAGUAGAAUGGAAAUAUUUCCUAAAAUUAAAGAAAUUACAACCAAACUCAAAUCUAUCAUUUCUGUAUUCAACGACAGUCACAAAAGUAUGGAUAUCUAUGGGGAAUUAUAAUGAAUCUACAGUUUCUCUGGCCAGUUCUAUUUCCUUUAGAAUGUCAAGCAGCAUUUGAUUUAUGAUAAUGGCUCAGAUUUUCAAGAUUAAAUUCAUGUUGGUAUACUGUCUUUUAAAGCAUGAAAACCCAUUUGCUAUAGAAUGAUAUAAUCAUGAUCUGCACUAUAAAUGAAAAACUUUAUGCUGGCAAAAAAAAAAUCUCUGAGAUGCAGUAGAGCAAUAUGGUAUAGUGGUAUGUAUGGGGUGAAGAAAAGAGCUAGGGUUUUGCAAUCAAGCAGAUUCAAGUUCAAAUUCCAGUUGUGUUAGUGUGUGAUGUCGGGUGUUAAGUCUCAGUUUUUUUAUCUGUAAAAUAUUACAUCUUGUAGAUUUCUUGUACUCUUAAAUUUGUGGCCUCAUAGAUUUACUUCCUCAGCUUCCUCUGCCUUGUUGCUUCUGUAGACAGCACGUGGAACAGAGAACACAAGAAGGUUUCAAAAGAUUUAAAAUCAUGGUUUUUAACACGGCUAAGAUGUUAUGUGGUAAACUUCCACCCAUCAUCACUAUAUCUCCUAUACCAGGAGUAAGCCAUUAUAUUUGUUUUACAAAGUGCUAUGAUUACAGGCAUAAGCCACUACACUCAGCCCCUCAGAAUUCUUGAAUUAUGAAAGUGUUCUGAUUUAUUUGACUACAGAAAUGACUGGAAAAUCUCAGCAUUUUAAACCUUUUUUGUAUAUUCUAACUGCAGUAAGAUAAACAUUACAGUUAUGUAUGUAUAUUUAUAUUUUUUUCUGUGUUGGGAUAUUUUCUGAUCUUUCUCUAAAAAGCCAUAUAUGACAAUUAGCAGUAAGAUGGAAAAGAUAAAAGUUAUAUUUGAGUUAAAUUAGAUAAAAAAUAGAUUGUUUUCUAUUUAAGAUUUCAAAAUAUUAAUGACCUAAAACAAAACAAAUUUUUCUAUUGGUCAGUUUUACUCUGGUUGAAGUAAUGCAUCUUAGAAAUAAAAUAAAUCUUAAAUAGGGAGCAUCUUCUAAAUCUUAGCCAGGGGAGGGGGAAAAAAAAAACAAAAACGAUGAGGCUUAUCUACCUUUAAAGACUGUUUGUAUCCUCCCAAAAUUAAUCUGUUGAAGCCCUAACCCCCAGUGUGAUGGUGUUUGCAGAUGGAGCCUUUGGAAGAUAAUUUGGUUUAGAUGAGGUCCUGAGAGUACAGCCCUAAUCCCAUGAUAUUAGUGCCCCUAGAAGAAGAAACACUAAUGAGUUUGCUCUCUCUCUCCACCACAUAAGGACACAGCAAGAAGGCAGCCAUCUAUAAGCCAUGAAGAGAGCCCUCACCAGAAACAAACCAUGCUGGCAACUUGAUCUUGGACUUCUAGGCUCCAGAACCAUGAGAAAAUAAAUUUCUGUUGUUUAAGCCACACAGUCUAUGGUGUUUUGUUACAGUGGCUUGAGCAAAUUAAUCUGUUUACGAAAGGGAAGAUGGACAUACACGCUAUGGCUAGGAAGGAAUGAUAACUUAUCAUUGAACCUAAAUGUAGGAGAUGUCCUGCCUAAAAUUUUGACUAUGCUUUUAUUUGUGUGUAUUUGUUUUUGUUUUGUUUUGUUUUGUUUUUGCUACUGGGUCAGUCUUGGGAGGGUAAAUCACUACUGAAAGGAACAUGGCUUCAUCCCCCAAAAAAGGGUGAACAUGUAGACCCUCUGGGAGUAAUCAAGGCCUAAUAUUAAGGAAAGACAGGGAAAGGUCAGGAGGCCUUUACUUCUGUGAGUGUCUGGGACCCAAAAAUUCAUUCAAAGCCUGCUGCAGAUUAGGACCUCAAAGUCAGUAGCUUCCUAGCCUCACUCUUGAUAUUUACAUCCCCAGGAAGAAAAGAGGGAUGCUGGUUGGGAGUCCUCAAAUGGUAGGCUACUAAGCCACUUGUGACAUGGCACUCUUGAGACAACUGGUGCAUUGGAGGAUAGUUUGAAAGUAAACUCCAGUGAACCUGGAGCUCCUUGCCUAAGCUUGUAUUUGAGCAAAAAAAAAAAAAAAAAAAAAAA
Piliocolobus tephrosceles (Ugandan red Colobus) is the source of this 5012-nucleotide long non-coding RNA. RefSeq lists it as uncharacterized. The record is from RefSeq and is a predicted model, not a curated record. The transcript has 13 exons. Lineage: Eukaryota; Metazoa; Chordata; Mammalia; Primates; Cercopithecidae.